Molecule: ribosomal RNA, 434 nt
Filed under: uncultured Rhodospirillales bacterium
Lineage: Bacteria; Pseudomonadati; Pseudomonadota; Alphaproteobacteria; Rhodospirillales
Description: bacterial SSU rRNA
Rfam family: Bacterial small subunit ribosomal RNA
Source: RNAcentral
ACGGGAGGCAGCAGUGGGGAAUAUUGGACAAUGGGCGCAAGCCUGAUCCAGCAAUGCCGCGUGAGUGAAGAAGGCCUUAGGGUUGUAAAGCUCUUUCGCCCGCGACGAUGAUGACGGUAGCGGGAGAAGAAGCCCCGGCUAAUUCCGUGCCAGCAGCCGCGGUAAUACGGAAGGGGCUAGCGUUGUUCGGAAUCACUGGGCGUAAAGCGCGCGUAGGCGGCCUUGCAAGUGCGGCGUGAAAGUCCUGGGCUCAACCUGGGGACGGCGCUGCGGACUGCUUGGCUGGAGUCCGGAAGAGGGUGGUGGAAUUCCGAGUGUAGAGGUGAAAUUCGUAGAUAUUCGGAGGAACACCGGUGGCGAAGGCGGCCACCUGGUCCGGUACUGACGCUGAAGCGCGAAAGCGUGGGGAGCAAACAGGAUUAGAUACCCUGGUA